GAUGAACGCUGACAGAAUGCUUAACACAUGCAAGUCUUUGGCGAAGCUGUGCUUGCACCGCCUAGCCAAGGCGGACGGGUGAGUAACGCGUAAGGAACUUGCCCUGCAGUCAGGGAUAACAGACGGAAACGACUGAUAAGACCUGGUAAAGUCAGGCGGACUCAUGUCCAGCCUGAUGAAAAGAGAUGCUGCAGGAGAGCCUUGCGUCCUAUUAGCUUGUUGGUGGGGUAACGGCCCACCAAGGCGAUGAUAGGUAGCCGGCCUGAGAGGGUGGACGGCCACAAGGGGACUGAGAUACGGCCCUUACGCCUACGGGAGGCAGCAGUGGGGAAUAUUGGACAAUGGGGGCAACCCUGAUCCAGCAAUUCUGUGUGCACGAUGAAGGUUUUCGGAUUGUAAAGUGCUUUCAGCAGGGAAGAAAAAAAUGACGGUACCUGCAGAAGAAGCGACGGCUAAAUACGUG
RNAcentral lists this ribosomal RNA (463 nucleotides) under uncultured bacterium. RNAcentral's name for it is "partial 16S ribosomal RNA". It matches the Rfam family "Bacterial small subunit ribosomal RNA", at positions 28 to 507 of the family's 1533-position model. The record is from RNAcentral.